AAGUUGUAACCGUUGUACUAAAUUGGUUUAUUUGAUUUUUAAAAAAACAUCACAAAUUUAGCGCUUGGCGCAAACUCUAUUUAUAUAACAUUUUCAUUUAUUAUUAUUACCUUAUUAAUUGAAUUUAAAAUACGAUUUCGAAGAUAGCCCCUUUGUAAAGACACUCACUGCUUCACAGUGAGUGACGGAGUGCAAGCACUCGCGUUUACCCCUGAUGAUUAGGCAACCCCCAUAACGUGAGUUCGCUGCGCGCGCUUCGACGAGCGGUUGCUCAAACCGACACGUGAUUGGAACUCAGUUACGAUCUUAAGAGGCCGCACGUGCAGAUUCUGAACCAAGGGUUUGACUCGUUUAUCUUCGUGAGAAUUGGAAAAGGAGAGCGUGUAGGCCGUGUACCUUCAGCGUACCGAGUGGGAGCGGGACACACUAUUAGAGAGCGAUAUUUCCCGAAUAGGCUAAAACCAACGCAACGUUUACGUGCAUCCGGUGGGUUCGUACGUAACUUCGGCGAUCAGUUUCCCAGGCUCGAGUCUGAGAAAUUUUAGUAACUCGAUCACAUUCUCCUAACCCGUGGAACGAUUCGGAAGUGCAGUGAAUUUGCUGGAGUUGUAACAAGCUAGGCCGAUAGAAAGUAGUGCGACAGAUAGCUAGCUUUUGUGACCUUUGUGCGAGAACCUGCGAAGAAAGGCAGCGUGGUCACAAGUUUACUUGUCUCCGGCGGCUUCCCUCGUCCGCGGACGGGAUUGCUGGCCAAGCUACAACCCUGUGGCCAGCCGCCGCGCCGUCAACAUCGUGGCAGAAAACCCCCGGUCCUACCGCAACCUCUUGACCGAGCCACUCCAGUCACCUGUGGCCUUUUUGACGCAAACGCCUGGCCGCACCGCAACCUAGUGGCCGCGGCGAUCUUUGUCGACUCGUGAGGAUUCUUCACGAAUCACCGUACGAAACUGCCUGGCCCCCAACAACCACGUGGCCCGCAGCGAACGCCUCGAACACGCCGUGACGCGGUCACGGACCGCAGGUCGGCAGGCCUGAAGAACAACCACGUGGCAAAUCGAUCGGUUCCAGACGCCUGGUAGGUGAGUCGAUCAUCCGCCACUCAACCAUCGUGAUCGCACAACAGCAGCAGUAGCAGGUAGCAGAACUCGCAGAGCAGCAGUCUACGGCGCCGGCAAGGGCGAAGUAGAGGAGAAAGAACGCGCACAACGACGACGACGACGGGCUCGUAAGUACAAAACUCUGUGUGUUAGUUGUCCGUGUGCACAUGUGACGUCCCCUCGAACCACAGAGUUCGCAAGCAUGUACGCCCCGCGCUAGCCCGCACCGCUAGCCCCCCCAAGAACGCCCCAUUGUUGAAGAUCUCCGGAGAAGAAUUAAGAGCACGCACACUGUAGGAUAGGGUGGUCGUAAUCAGAAGAUGAAUUAUAACUAUUAGGGAAUAAAACUGAACUCCAAAAUGUUAAUCUGCGAUCUUUAAAUGCCGUCUUUAAUAAAGUCCCUAUUUAACCCUAUUCGAGUUGCUUUGGUUGAUGCUUGGGAAAGAAUUUAGUUAUGAGCGCUUGCGCUGCGCUUCAGCGGUCUGCUGCGCACCGGUCACUCUGCGACACCUGGUGGUGGGAUCUGUAACUAUCGAUGAUGAAUGAGUAUUGAUGUUGGGAGCUUUCGUUGAGCACGUUGGUUUUAGGUCAAUUCGGGCAUUAUGGGCUCGGAUAAUACUGAAGUUCGGUAAGUCGGACGCAGGGAAACUGCGGGGAAAGCUGAAUCGUUCUCCAAACCUCUUCUCACGAGUAAACUGGACCUUCCUAAGGAAGAGUCUCAAGCUGGGCAACUUUAGAUCAGGCGGGUGGUCCUCUAACGAGGUGGCGCUUAAGCUAUCCGCUUCUUCCAGUGCGCUUCGGCGAUCUCGCACAUUUCCCUGUAACAUUUUCUUGGAAUUUUCCCUGUACCGUACCAUGACGUUCUGGUCCAACGUCCGUACGGUUA
Molecule: long non-coding RNA, 1983 nt
Organism: Culex pipiens pallens (northern house mosquito)
Lineage: Eukaryota; Metazoa; Arthropoda; Insecta; Diptera; Culicidae
Exons: 3
Source: RefSeq, a predicted model, not a curated record